CCGAUAUAGCUCAGUUGGUAGAGCAACUCAUUCGUAAUGAGUAGGUCGCGAGUUCGAGUCUCACUAUCGG
Molecule: transfer RNA, 70 nt
Filed under: bovine gut metagenome
Rfam family: tRNA
About the family: Transfer RNA (tRNA) molecules are approximately 80 nucleotides in length. Their secondary structure includes four short double-helical elements and three loops (D, anti-codon, and T loops). Further hydrogen bonds mediate the characteristic L-shaped molecular structure. tRNAs have two regions of fundamental functional importance: the anti-codon, which is responsible for specific mRNA codon recognition, and the 3' end, to which the tRNAs corresponding amino acid is attached (by aminoacyl-tRNA synthetases). tRNAs cope with the degeneracy of the genetic code in two manners: having more than one tRNA (with a specific anti-codon) for a particular amino acid; and 'wobble' base-pairing, i.e. permitting non-standard base-pairing at the 3rd anti-codon position.
Source: RNAcentral